UGGGGAAUUUUGGACAAUGGGGGCAACCCUGAUCCAGCCAUGCCGCGUGAGUGAAGAAGGCCUUCGGGUUGUAAAGCUCUUUCGGCGGGGAAGAAAUGGCACGCUCUAACAUAGCGUGUUGAUGACGGUACCCGCAUAAGAAGCACCGGCUAACUACGUGCCAGCAGCCGCGGUAAUACGUAGGGUGCGAGCGUUAAUCGGAAUUACUGGGCGUAAAGCGUGCGCAGGCGGUUUCGUAAGACAGAGGUGAAAUCCCCGGGCUCAACCGGGGAACGGCCGUUGUGACUGCGAGGCUAGAGUGUAGCAGAGGGGGGUAGAAUUCCACGUGUAGCAGUGAAAUGCGUAGAGAUGUGGAGGAAUACCGAUGGCGAAGGCAGCCCCCUGGGCCACUACUGACGCUCAUGCACGAAAGCGUGGGGAGCAAACA
Molecule: ribosomal RNA, 427 nt
Filed under: uncultured prokaryote
Description: bacterial SSU rRNA
Rfam family: Bacterial small subunit ribosomal RNA
Source: RNAcentral